CUGGACUUCUUAUUUUCUAGAGUAUUCGGAUAUGGGUAUAAAAGUAUGAUCAUACAAAUUUAUACAAAGACUGAAAAAAUUAAACAUUACCUGAAUUCGAAAUCACUCCGAGUGUGGAUAACAUAGCUCAUGGGAGUACUCCUUUGUACUUUUUUCCUACUCCUGAAAGUUAUAAAGAUAUUUGAGAAAUUAUCUAAACUAAAAGACGGAUGAUGACAUUAAACUUUUUAAACUACAGAAUCUGAGGCCAGAGAUACCUCGUUGCUGUCCAAGUUCGCUUGCAAAUGUGAUGAAAAGAUGCUGGGAUGCAAACCCCGACAGACGGCCAGAGAUGGAUGAAGUGGU
This 345-nucleotide long non-coding RNA is filed under the name Gossypium barbadense (sea-island cotton). Its description in RNAcentral is "long non-coding RNA (GBAR_LNC009898)". Lineage: Eukaryota; Viridiplantae; Streptophyta; Magnoliopsida; Malvales; Malvaceae. The record is from RNAcentral.